Molecule: ribosomal RNA, 492 nt
Filed under: uncultured bacterium
Lineage: Bacteria
Description: partial 16S ribosomal RNA
Rfam family: Bacterial small subunit ribosomal RNA
Source: RNAcentral
AGUGAACGCUGGCGGUAGGCCUAACACAUGCAAGUCGAACGGCAGCACAGUAAGAGCUUGCUCUUACGGGUGGCGAGUGGCGGACGGGUCAGGAAUACAUCGGAAUCUACUUUUUCGUGGGGGAUAACGUAGGGAAACUUACUCUAAUACCGCAUACGACCUACGGGUGAAAGCAGGGGAACUUCUGACCUGGUGCGAUUGGAUGAGCCGAUGUCGGAUUAGCUAGUUGGCGGGGUAAAUGCCCACCAAGGCGACGAUCCGUAGCUGAUCUGAGAGGAUGGUCAGCGACACUGGAACGUAGACAGGGUCCAGACUCCUGCGGGAGGCAGCAGUGGGGAAUAUUGGGCAAAGGGCGCAAGCCUGAUCCAGCCAUACCGCGUGGGUGAAGAAGGCGUUCGGGUUGUAAAGCCCUUUUGUUGGGAAAGAAAAGCAGCAGGUUAAUACCCCGCUGUUCUGACGGUACCCAAAGAAUAAGCACCGGCUAACUUCGUG